This 524-nucleotide ribosomal RNA is filed under the name Phomopsis sp. OTU4 TS-2013. RNAcentral describes it as "eukaryotic LSU rRNA". It matches the Rfam family "Eukaryotic large subunit ribosomal RNA", at positions 62 to 598 of the family's 3401-position model. The record is from RNAcentral. Lineage: Eukaryota; Fungi; Ascomycota; Sordariomycetes; Diaporthales; Diaporthaceae.
ACACCAACANGGAUUNCCCUAAUAACGGNGAGUGAAGCGGCAACAGCUCAAAUUUGAAAUCUGGCCUCGGCCCGAGUUGUAAUUUGCAGAGGAUGCUUCUGGCGCGGUGCCUUCCGAGUUCCCUGGAACGGGACGCCACAGAGGGUGAGAGCCCCGUAUGGUCGGACACCAAGCCUGUGUGAAGCUCCUUCGACGAGUCGAGUAGUUUGGGAAUGCUGCUCUAAAUGGGAGGUAAAUCUCUUCUAAAGCUAAAUACCGGCCAGAGACCGAUAGCGCACAAGUAGAGUGAUCGAAAGAUGAAAAGCACCUUGAAAAGGGGGUUAAAUAGUACGUGAAAUUGUUGAAAGGGAAGCACUUGUGACCAGACUUGGGCCGGGCGGCUCAUCAGGGGUUCUCCCCUGUGCACUCCGCCCGGCACAGGCCAGCAUCGGUUCCCGUGGGGGGAUAAGACCGCCGGGAACGUAGCACCCUCCGGGGUGUGUUAUAGCCCGGNGGACGANACCCCCGUGGGGACCGAGGUUCGC